GGUUGUUUGAAAAUGCAUAAAUUCAGAGAUUUUGUGGGUGUAUUAUCUACUUUUAAAAUGUGUUUUGGGCCCUAAACAUAAACCUGUAACGUGUAAUGCAUUUGUAAACACAUUCUCAUCCUUGAUUGUUCUUCUGCUAAACAUGUUGAGGAAAAUGUUUAGAGCUUCAAAAGGUUUAACCCUCUAUGUGUUUAACCUGACAACAUGUUGACGAUAAACAUGUUUUGAUGCAGUAACUGCUACUU
RNAcentral lists this long non-coding RNA (245 nucleotides) under Mytilus galloprovincialis (Mediterranean mussel). The record is from RNAcentral. Lineage: Eukaryota; Metazoa; Mollusca; Bivalvia; Mytilida; Mytilidae.